AGCUUUGUGUAGUGGCAGUAUCGUAGGCAAUGAGGUUUAUCCAAGGCGCGAUUAUUGCUAAUUGAAAACUUUUCCCAAUAUCCGCAGUAACAAUGUGAAAUAUAGUCAGCAUUGGCAAAAG
This is a small nuclear RNA of Ochotona princeps (American pika), 121 nucleotides long. Its record names the gene U4. It matches the Rfam family "U4 spliceosomal RNA". Rfam says of the family: U4 small nuclear RNA (U4 snRNA) is a component of the major U2-dependent spliceosome. The structure of U4 snRNA from yeast and human has been reported. U4 snRNA presents a k-turn RNA motif in the 5p-SL related to recognition of Snu13 protein. The record is from Ensembl. Lineage: Eukaryota; Metazoa; Chordata; Mammalia; Lagomorpha; Ochotonidae.